GUCGUGAGAUGUUGGGUUAAGUCCCGCAACGAGCGCAACCCUUGUGAUCAGUUACUAACGGGUAAAGCCGAGGACUCUGAUAAGACUGCCGGGGACAACUCGGAGGAAGGUGGGGACGACGUCAAAUCAUCAUGCCCCUUAUGACCUGGGCUACACACGUGCUACAAUGGCCACUACAGAGAGAAGCGAAUUCGAGAGGAAGAGCGGAUCUCAGAAAAGUGGUCCCAGUUCGGAUUGUGGGCUGCAACCCGCCCACAUGAAGUCGGAGUUGCUA
RNAcentral lists this ribosomal RNA (274 nucleotides) under uncultured bacterium. Its description in RNAcentral is "partial 16S ribosomal RNA". It matches the Rfam family "Bacterial small subunit ribosomal RNA", at positions 1064 to 1337 of the family's 1533-position model. The record is from RNAcentral.